AGAGACUAACGCCAAUGAUGGAGAUCUGGCUGGUGAGGAAUCAUUUGUUUUGGAGUCGGAGCCAAGACUGAAUUCCCGGGGAUUUCUGGCGCGAUCGCGUCCAAGUGUCUGGUGUGUAAGGCUCUUCAGUCUGCCCUGAAGCUCAGAGGGCUUCGACAGUACAGAUGCUAGAGGCCUCUGCGAGCAAAGGCGGCGCUGGCCCAGGGGUUCAGGUUCCUGCGAGCGUUGGCCCAUGGCGCUUCCGGAUGCGCUGUCCGGAUCCCCGCCGGACACUUCUGCCCCCGCGGCCCUCUAGUUGGUUCACCAGUUUGCGUUUGAUUCCUGCGCAUUUCUUAUGUGUUAGGCAUAAUAAUAAAGGGUGGGGCAAGCCUCCCCAACUGAGAGAGAUCUCUUUGCCGGAGAACCUGGGGCCUCAACCAGCUCAUGGGACUGUUACCUUCAGCCCGUUGCUAUCCCUAGCUUCUGUAAAACUGCUGGCUUGUACUAAGACCUUUUCAUUCCUGGCUACACAUGAAUUCCCAGAGGAGAGAAUGGGCGCGGAGGAGCUUUAGAAACACCCGUGUCUGAUACCUUCGAAGAUUCUGAUUUAACUGAUCUGUGGUGGGGCCUGGGCAAUGGCACUUGUAUAAAUUAUGCAGGUGAAGCAGGUUUAAGAACCACUGCACUCAAUGAUUUGGAUGAUAGGUACUAUUUAGCAUCUAGAACUGUUAGUCUGAUGUAUGUUUUACACGCUCGAUCAUCCCCUCAAUAGACCCAGGAGCUAAGCGUCAUUAUGCCCUUUUUACCUCAGAAGUGGCUUGCCCAAAUUUGCAGUCUGUAAGUGGUGUUGCAGACCAGCUGCAGGGCCAAGUGCUUUCCUCCAUCUUUCCCAAGAGAGGAAGACGCUAAUGCGCUCAGUAAAACUAACACGCUCUGUAAGGGGUGAAGCUCCACACAACUCAGGCUUAUUCUGGUUUCUGUCAGUAGCGCUCACUUUACCCAGCAAGGAACUGCUUAUUUUACACACUUGACCCUGAAUUCCCCUUGCCACUCACACCUGAGUUUGAACUGCAGCUAAGUAGCCCAGGCAGAGGCUGCCCUGUUUCCACAGUCUUGGUGUGGCUUUAUUUCCUUCUUCCAUGCCUUUGCCCAAUGAUCUUUGCUAUGGCCCUGAAGGCACUGCCUCCCUGGCCUAUAUGGCCCUGUAGCUUUGAAAAGCCUGAAUUCAGGCUGGACAUGGUGGCUCACGCCUGCAAUCCCAGCACUAAAGGCAAGAGAAUUGCUUGAGCCCAGGAGUUCGAGACCAGCCUCGGCAACAUAGACCCCGUCGAAAGAGGGAGGGAGAGAAGACACAGGAGAGACCCCGUCGAAAAAGGAAGGAAGGGAGGGAGGGAGAUGGGAAUACCAAGGAGUGCUUUAAGGUCCCCAUCUCUUGCUGUCACUUCCCCCAUCUGCAGUCUGAUGUAAAGCUUGAGGUAGAUAGAAUGUGGAAAGAGAAAUUGAGGAGUGGGAAGUGUUCAGAGGGGAAACCAUUUAUCUGAAGGUGAGAGCCUUAUGAAAAAUUUUUUGGGCCAGGCGCGGUGGCUCAUGCCUGCAAUUCUAGCACUUCGGAAGGCCGAGGCAGGUGGAUCACCUGAGGUGAAGAGUUCAAGACCAGCUUGGCCAACAUGGUGAAACCUUGUCUCUACUAAAAAUACAAAAAUUAGCCAGGUGUGAUGGUGGGCACCUGUAAUCCCAGCUACUUGGGAGGCUGAGGCAGGAGAAUUGCUUGAACCCAGGAGGUGGAGUUUGCAGUGAGCUGAGAUAGUGCCAUUGCACUCCAGCCUGAGCAACAGAGCAAAAACUCUGUCUCAAAAAAAAAAAAAAAAAAUUGGUGAAGUGCUUUCUUCUUUGUCAUCGCAUCUACAGUCUCAUUGGUCCUCUAAGCAUCCCCAAGAUGACAGAAAAAUAAUAGAUUUCAUUCUCAGAGAAACAGGCUCAGAUGGGGAGGACUGGUUCAAGGGUCUGCUUUGGGGGCCAUUGUGUUCUUGCAUCCACACUCCCUGUCUGUGUCGGGCUGGAUCAAGUAGGGAAGGGAGAGGAAGGAGCCAUCUCCCAGGGGUGGAGUCCUUUGGGUGAUGGGCUUUUUAAGCAGCCCUAGGGGUAGAGACAGAUGGGAUUAACCAACCUGGGGACCUUCACACACAGAUACCAGCUUUUAAUCAAACAGCAGUUUUUACUGAGCUCCAGGUGGGGCUGGCCCAGCAUGGCCAGUACAGCAGGCUGCCCUCAAGGGCCAGUCUGUGGCAUGACAGGAAAUGCAGGGGUGCACAUGUUGGGGCUGCCCUUUGGCACUCACUGGGGUGGGUCAAGGGAGAGCAAACACCAAGGUCCUCUGGAGACCAGAAUCGGCCAGUGCAGCCAUUUGGCUUCUCCUUCAGGACCAGCUGGGUCAGUUCCCAGGCCCUGAGGCAAUGCCUGCAUCCUGGGUCCGUGGGGCACUACUGCUGUCACUGCUCUGAGGGAGAAAGACGACCAGCAGCACAAUCAGGAUGAUGAGCAGGACACCAACCACCACCAGCCCCACGCAGAUCCGGUAACGGAUGUUCUCCCAGCACUUCUUCUGGGCCAGGUUCUGUGUAGUCUUGUUGAAGGUUGAGCUCUGCGGAUACCCCCAGACACAAAGUGGGAGUUAGCUGGCACCCUCUUGGCCUGGGAGCCAGCUCCUCCCAACCCCAUCUCAGUAAGGCUUAGUCUCCUCCUGCAUCCUCCCCAUCUUGUCUACUUUCUUUCUUUUUUUUUUUUUUUUGAGAAGGAGUCUCUCCCUGUCACCCAGGCUGGAGUACAGUGGCACAAUCUCAGCUCACUGCAACCUCUGCCUCCCGGGUUCAAGCAAUUCUCCUGUCUCAGCCUCCCUAGUAGCUGGGACUACAGGUGCACACCACUGCGCCCGGCUAAUUUUUGUAUUUUUAGUUGAGAUGGGGUUUCACCAUACUGGCUAGGAUAGUCUUGAACUCCUGACCUUGUGAUCUGCCCACCUCGGCCUCCCAAAGUGUUGGGAUUACAGGCGUGAGACACCGCGCCCGGCCUUGUCUGCUCUCUUUCUAUACCACCUGCCGUGGAACCCUCCCAGCCUGACUCAUCUCAAACACCGGUGUGGCCCUUGACUUUCAGCCCUAGUGUCUCACCCUCAGUUAACAAUGCCAGUACUCAGGCUGGACACAGUGGCUCAUGCCUGUAAUCCCAGCACAUUGGAAAGCCAAGGUGGGAGGAUCUCUUGGAUCCAGGAGUUCAAGACCAGCCUGGGCAACAUGGUGAGACCUCAUCUCUACAAAAAAUCAAAAAUUAGACAGGCAUGGUGGUGCAGGCUUGUAGUCCUAGCUCUUCAGGAGGCUGAGGCAGGAGGAUCACUUAAGCCUGGGAGGUAGAGGCUGCAGCAAAUAUGAUUGUGCCACUGUACUAGCCUGGGCGACAGAGUGAGACUCUGUCUCAAAGUAAAAAAGAAACAAAAAACGAUACCAGUUUUCUACCUUUAAGAAGGUCCACAGCUUCAAACCAAGGCCUUCUUAUCUUGUGGGGUCUAUCUGUUGCAUGUCUAGGCUAUGGGUGCCUGAGGAAACCCAGAGGCCCCACACUGGCCCUCAAGAAGGCCUCAACCCCACCAAGGAACUGGAGAUCCUGAAUACAGCCCAAGAGAGACUUUCCCAAUCCUCUCCCCUCCCCUCCAUGCUCCCCCAGGCCUCACACCAUAUCCAGGAGUUGGUCUGAACGCUGCUGCAGUUCGGCCAGCUUCACACCACGCUCCAGGACCUUGCCGAAGUUGUUACGCAUAAUUUCCGUCACCUCGUUCGCCUGCUGCUGGCACCGCUCCAACUCUAUUCCUGCCUGGACACCAAGCCCGAGGUCAGGGCUGCAUGAGGCCCCCACCUGGCCCUCAUCUGCCCCUGAGAUCUAGAAGCCUCCUUCUCCCCCUGUAGGUGGGUACAGCAUGAGAGUAACAGCAUCCUUCGUGUAAGGGUAUGAUGUGUGCGGAGUGAAGGUCUGGCCUUCGGGGUGAGUGCGGCACACCUUAAGUCUCACAGGCUCCUCCCCUUGCACGUCAAGGCAGGGCCUAGGACCUAGGUAAGUCCCGGCUUCCAGCACCUCAGCUUCCUCUAAGCUGUCCCAAGGUGGGAUCUUCCCAGGACCCCACCCUCCCACAAAGCUGAUUCUUUUCUCACCUGCUCCAGAAUGGCGUCUACCCAAUCAAUGCACAGCUGCCCUAAGGUUUCCCACUGGCCUAAGAAGGCAGCAAAGAAUGGGUAACCAAGCUACCUGGCUGGAACACACAGGGAGGAGACCUACCCUACAGGCUAGAAAGGUAAUUUUGAAGCAGCACACAUCAUAGUCUCUGCCUAACCCCUCUAUCCCCAAACUGAGAAGCUCAGAUCUUCCUCUUUGGGCCUCUGACUGGUCAGGCCAGUUCUGCCUCCUGGCCUGAUCCUGCUCCCUAUAUCACUGCUCCAACUUCCCUCUCCGUCUGGGAACCUCAGUGGUACCGGUUUUUGGCCUCCAGCCUUCCACUCAGCUGGGGUCCUCACUGGGGUCCAACUUACAGAGAUGAGACUAACUCUUGGAUUUCCCAGCCUGGGGGGCAGCUUUGCCUAACAGAAAACACCAGCUCAUUUCAGAGGACUGGGAAGGGAGGUCUUGGAUCCAAGCUGGGGAAGGUUGAAAUGACAGGGGAGAGAGAAAGUCUGGGUCAUGUGCAAGAAAGGCACUGGGCUUUGGGUGCACGUAACAGAGAGAGACACCAGGCAGGAGGCCCUGGUAUAAGCCAGAAGCCUAGGAGCAGGGACAUUUCAGGGAGAUGAAUACCAGUGGAUUAGCAAACCACAGAAACUCCUUCCUCUUAGCCUACUUCCCCACAGCCCAUCCCUGUUCCCUUCCCCUCCUUACAAGAAGGGCAAGCUUCUUUUCCUGCCAGCCCACGUCACCCAUUGUCUACAACAGACAUUUUGGCACUUGACUGAAUUCCACUUAAAACCAGAAAACUUAAGUGUUAGAAGAGAUCUGGUGGUCACAGAGGGCUACCUCCCACUCAGCCAAGAAUCCUCCUUCAGGAUCCUUGCAGCUGCUUGGUAUACAGCCUCCAAGAAUUCCCACUGUAUGAGUCCUAUCUCCCCAGCUGGACCACAAACUCCCAGAGGGAGGGCAGGGAGCAGUGCCCUGCCUUUGUCCACCACCAUCCCACCGGGAGGCCAGCACAGUGCUGACCAUUGCAAGCAAGGAAUCAGUGAGUGGGCCAAUUACGAUACAGCCUAACCAAAAGCAAUUCUUAUUCUCAAGAGAUGUUCUCCCAGCAUGUUUUUCUAGCCCUGCAUGAGUUUCGAGGGGCAGGCAUUUGAAACCCAAAUAGGUCAAUAUUUACCCAUGAGCUAGAAAAGCAACCUGCUUCAAGAGAGGUCAGGCAAACCACUGUAGGGGAGGCUGCGCUCACAGGCUGGAGGAAGCAGUAAGCAGGAAACACAGAGGAACAACGAAGAGAGCAGGGAAACUGCACUCUCACCUUUUCCUGAGUCAACCGUCAUCACUAUUAUUACUACUAUAGCAUUCAACAAGGCUCCAUCAUUCAAUCCUUUGAACUUCCCCACAUUCAAAUACUCCAAGGCAGGCUGGGCGCAGUGGCUCACACCUGUAAUCCCAGCACUUUGGGAGCCCCAGGCAGGCAGAUCACUUGAGGCCAGGAGUUCGAGACCAGCCUGGCCAACAUGGUGAAACCCUGUCUCUACUAAAAAUACAAAAAUUAGCCAGGCAUGGUGGUGCAUGCCUGUAAUCCCAGCUACUUGGGAGGCUGAGAUGGGAGAAUCGCUUGAACCUGGGUGGCGGAGGUUGCAGUGAGCCGAGAUCACACCACUGCACUCCAGCCUGGGCAACAGAGCAAGACUCCAUCUCAGCAAACAAAACAAAACAAAAAACAAAAUUAAAUAGUCCAAAGCAAAAACUUGAGAAUGGAUAAAUACUCGAAAAUAAGAGUCACUGCUAGAGACUGGGAAAAUGCUGGAUAUUAUCUUUUUAUUUUCUAUUCUAAAUGCUACAGCUGUUGUUACCUUAUUUUUCAACAAGGGGUGAUAUUUGGGUCACAUUCUCCAAAGAGCUGGCUGUGCUUCCAGCUGUAAUCUGGACCAGUCUCCCCCAAUGCGAAGCCAGGCCUGCCUGGAGCCAAGAUGGACCCAGGCCUAAAAGAACACAUUCGCUCCAGGGAACACAGAGGCCUUAGACUCAAGUCUCGGGCCCUCCUUGGCCCCCACUCAACCAGAGGAAAAAGGACACUGACUAUAUACACAGGUCUCUGCUGGCACUGUGAGAAAUAAAGCUCCAGGGACCCUGGAAGGAGGUAAGCAAGAGGACAAGGGCCAUACUGCCUUACGCCACACUGUCACUCAGCAUAAUGUCUGCAGACAGCAGAGAUGUGAUAAACAGUUCCUGAAUAAAUGGUGCCUAUAUUUUUAAAGAUGGGGUCUUGCUAUGUUGCCCAGGAUGGUCUUGAACUCCUGGGCUCAAGCAGUCCUCCCACCUCAGCUUCCCAAAGUGC
This 6532-nucleotide long non-coding RNA is filed under the name Homo sapiens (human). Its description in RNAcentral is "non-protein coding lnc-TMEM150A-4:2". Lineage: Eukaryota; Metazoa; Chordata; Mammalia; Primates; Hominidae. The record is from RNAcentral.